Molecule: ribosomal RNA, 1701 nt
Filed under: Triticum aestivum (bread wheat)
Lineage: Eukaryota; Viridiplantae; Streptophyta; Magnoliopsida; Poales; Poaceae
Description: partial small subunit ribosomal RNA
Source: RNAcentral
AUGAUGGAGUACUAUCAUAUUGCCAACAAGAUGUUUAAUAGUGAGGAUGAAGGUUAUACAUUCUAUAAUAAAUAUGGUCUUGAGAAAGGUUAUAGUGUCUGGAGAAGCUAUGUCGAGUGGGACGGAUCCAACUGCCAUAUAAUUUUAAGGAAAUUUGUGUGUAGUCGUGAAGGGGUUCGUGAAGAGAAGCACAUGAAGAGGAAGAUGGAAGAUAGAAAGAGGAGGCCACGGAGUAUAACUCGUGUAGGGUGUAAAGCUAAAUUGGUGAUUGCAAGACAUGAGGAAACAGGUCAGUGGUUUGUCAAGGAUUUCAUCGAUGAACACAACCAUCCCCUAGCCCCACGGGAUCUGUCGUGUCUUUUGCGUUCACACAGAAGAAUUAGCGAUGAGCAGAAAGCGGACAUUGCAGACAUGGAAAAAUCUGGGAUCAGAAAACACCAUAUUAUGGAUAUUAUGUGCAUGCAAUACGUUGGAUAUGAUGAGGUUGGAUGCAUUAUGAGGGACAUUUACAAUUUCUUCCAUGCUAACAAGCAGGAAACAAUUUCUUCCGGGGAUGCUCAAACGGUGAUCAAUCACAUGGUGGCGAGGCAAGAGCAAGAUUCAGAUUUUUUCUUCAGGUACUUGGUUGAUGAAGCUGGCCAUCUGAAGGGACUGUUCUGGUGUGAUAGUCAAUCCCGACUUGACUAUGAGGCUUUCGGAGACGUUAUUGUUUUUGAUAGCACAUACAGAACCAAUAAGUACAAUCUGCCAUUUGUGCCGUUUGUCGGGUUGAAUCACCUCCGCAGCACCGUUAUUUUUGCAUGUGGUAUCAUCUCACAUGAAACAAGCCAGGCAUACGAGUGGAUGUUACGGACCUUUUCUGAUGCUAUGGGACAGAAGCAUCCUAUAUCUGUGAUCACGGAUGGGGACCUUGCAAUGCAGAGAGCAAUCAGGGUGGUGUGGCCUGACUCAAACCAUAGGCUCUGUAUAUGGCACAUUCAGCAGAACAUUGUACGCCAUCUGCAUGAUGACGCGGUAAAGGAGGAAUUCCGAUCUUUCAUAUAUGAUACAUCUUCCAUUGAAGAGCAUGAGAGAAAAUGGUUACACUUCUUACAACGGAAUAAAGUAACAAGUGAGGACUCCUGGCUGCAUCAGAUGUAUAAGAUGAGAAAACUGUGGUGUGCUCCAUAUCUUGAGGGCCGUUGUUUCCUAGGAUUGAGCAGCAAUCAGCGGAGUGAGAGUUUAAACUCGGUGCUACAUACGCAUCUUGAGGCUAAGAUGACGUUGUUUCAAAUGCUAGAGCACUAUGAGCGUUGCUUUGCGUCGCGACGCUUGAACGAGGCUCUCCAAGACGUCGAGGCCUUACAGUCCGUUCCGUUCACAGAGGAAAAUGCUUCAGUUCUUGAGAAACAUGCCGCGAAAGUUUUCACUCCUGCUGUGUUUAAGUUGGUCUUAUGGAGCAUAGAUGCUGUCAUAAAAUGUGAGAUCAGAGAGGUACUUGAUGCAGCAGAGGUUACCACAUACGUUGUGUCUAAGAAGGAAAGAAUGGAUAAAAAGAUCGAAGUGCGCACGGAGACGAAGGAAGGUAUGCUUCGCAGUAUCAGUUGUUCUUGCCGCAAAUUGGAAUGCGCAGGCACACCAUGUUCCCACAUAUUUUACAUAUUCGGAAUUUUACAAGAAGAAACACUGCCCAGGUGUUGUGUUCCCACUAGGUGGACAAUG